Molecule: transfer RNA, 76 nt
Filed under: Oligoflexia bacterium
Lineage: Bacteria; Pseudomonadati; Bdellovibrionota; Oligoflexia
Description: tRNA-His
Rfam family: tRNA
About the family: Transfer RNA (tRNA) molecules are approximately 80 nucleotides in length. Their secondary structure includes four short double-helical elements and three loops (D, anti-codon, and T loops).
Source: RNAcentral
GUGGGUGUAGUUCAACUGGCAGAGCACCAGAUUGUGAUUCUGGGUGUUGUGGGUUCGAGCCCCAUCAUCCACCCCA